RNAcentral lists this long non-coding RNA (10025 nucleotides) under Heterocephalus glaber (naked mole-rat). RNAcentral's name for it is "lncRNA (ENSHGLG00000035665.1)". The record is from RNAcentral. Lineage: Eukaryota; Metazoa; Chordata; Mammalia; Rodentia; Bathyergidae.
GAUAGUUUUAGAUUUGGAAUAUAACAUGGUUAUUAUAGUUUGUUCUAUGGUUCAUUUUUCAUUAUCUGUUACCCUGUAAAUAUAAUUUAUUAAUUUUGAUGAAAAAUUUAUCAACAUCUUCUUUUAUAGUCAAUACUUUUUACUUAAAAUAUUUUCUUGAAUCAAAAGAAUUAAAUUAUUUCCUGGUGUUUCUUAUUUAUUAGUACAUACUUGCGACGCAUAAUGAUUACAUUCAUCAUGGGGAGUGGGUACAUGUACCUAAUGUAUUUCGAUUAUUUUUUUAUUUCCUCCUUUCAUCACUCCCCUGUUUCUCCAUCUUUUGACCCCUUCUUUUUUGCAAAAGAUCCAUUUCCCUGGGUCAUAUCACCUACAUUUUAUUUUUCUCAUUAAUUUAUUCAUAUUUUGGGUGUCCUAUAUAAGAGAAAUCAUAUGAUAUUUAAGCUUUAGUGUCUGAUUUAUUUCACUUAACAUUAUGGUCUCAAAGUGUAUCCAUUUUCCUACAAGUGCUUAAAGUUUAUCCUUAUUUAUGUCAGAGUAGUACUCGAUUGUGGAUAAAUAACCCAUUUUAUUUACCCAUUCAUCUGUUUCUUAAAAAUUGUAUUGCUUUGCCAUUCACAAUUAGACAGUAAAUCUCUUGGGAAUUCAGUUUGAAUUAGUUAAGAUUUAAUUUCACCUUUUUUUUCAAAUUGGAUGGCUUUUAUGCCAAUUAGCAAUUAAUUUUCCUCAAGUCCCAGUGAGUAACCAUGAGUUUUGUUUUGUGUGUAUUUUUCCAUAUAAAAUUUUAAUAAAUAUAGAAACAUAUAAAAAUAUACAUUCAUCUCUGAAACAGGUUUUACAUAUAAUGCAGCAUAGUGUCCUACCCUAACUACUUGGCCACAGUCUUUUUGUUCAUAACAUCUAGAAGUUGUCAAUAAUAGUAAAAAAUAUCACAUUCACUAUUAGCAAAUUAUGUUAUUGCUUUAUGCAAUAAUAAUUAAUUAAAUAUUUUGCAUUUUCUUCACUUGUCUGUUUCAGUUUGUCAUAUGUCUCACAUUGACAUAUGUGGGAGAGUUUCUUCUUUAUAUGUGAUUUUGAAGCUGUCCAUUAAUGUCAGGUUCUAUUAAUUAUUAUAAAUGAGAAACAGACCUUGAGACAUGAAAUAGUAAGAAAUAUUUUAGCUUUCUAAUGCCUGUCCCUUCUCUUAUACGUAUCUUUUGUACUGAUUAUAUAUUUUUCGUUUUUGUUUGCCAGAGGUAUGGCAAAUUGUUAGUCUUUAUGUAGUAUUUACUUCUUAUUUAUUCUUUUCUAUUUCACUGAUUUGCUUGACUAGAUUUUUAUUUCCUUCCUUCUAUGUGUUUACUAUGCUGUGUGUUUGCUAACCUGUAAGACUUUUUUUUUCUUUCAGUCUCAUUCUCUUCUACCUUUACCUGCAAAGAUAUAAUGUUCCUUUGAAAUAAAAUUUAAGGGGCAACCCACAAGAUAUGUAGCAUUUUCACUUAAUUCCACUCAAAGUGAUACGGAAAAGUUUUAGAUAAUAGAUUGAAUAUUAAGGUAAUUGUAGAAGCAAAGUAAGUAAUGUGUUCUUUUAAGAUUUGCUUUUCCUGUAACUCCUUGUUUAAGGUGAGGAUUAUCUGACUCUACUCAGUAACUUCAUUAACCUAACAAAGUUACCGUGCCAGGGUGAAUUUACAAUGUUUAUGGCCUAUCUUGUGUCUGUGACUUGUAAUUGGAAACUGGAAUUGUAUUUACAUAUCAAAGACCACUAGGGGUGAGAUAAUGGCUAAAAAGGAUAUAAAAAAAAGGAAAUGCUGAACAAAGGGGGCCCGGAUACUGACCAGACUGGUUUCUGGCAUUCCCUUAACCUCGCGAGAAGAAAUUUUAUUAUUUUAUCCGAAUUCUGUGUCUCUGUGUAUUUCUUUCCGAGAUUUCUGCAACAAAAGCACUUUCUAAUUUUUUAUUAUGCUUUCCCCGUUGAUUCAUAUGCUACACUUAGAUGUGUAAGUUGUCAAAUGUGAUGAUUUUAUAGUCAUAUUUUAUUGUGUAUUUCUAAAAAUUUCAUCAUGGCCUGUAAACAUGAUGCAUAUAUUUUCACAAUCUUCCAAAAUUGUGGAAUCUUCAUGUACAAAAACUUUGGAUGAAAGCAACUUAACUGAGGUUAUAUAAGCAAAUAUUGAUUUAUGUCUCGGGUAACUCUUGCAACCUGAAGUGAACUCCACUUCUCCUCAGUAUAGGCAGCGAAUAUUUAUAGUCAGAAAGUGGAAGUACAGAAAUAGCCUCAGUAGUUACAAGCAGGUCUUCAACUUAUUUAAAUGUAUUAUGAUCAGCUGGCUGCCUGUGAUUGUCUGAGAUCCAACUACUUGUAACAAACAUAUAUAUAUAACAAACAUUAUAUAUAAACCUCUACAUUAGGUUUCUUAUUAUUUACACUUACUAAUUUAGGUUGCAAUUUAACUAAGUACAGAGAUAGCUUCAACAUAAAUUUAACAUUUGUUAUAGUAUCUUGUCAACUUUUGUGUUUUGUUUUUGUUGAAAAAAUACUAUUUUGCGGUUGUUGAGGGCAGACUUCUUAAAAUCUUAGGUCUUAUUUUAAUCAAGUUAAUUAAACAUUCUGUAUCUUUCCUAAUUUCCUCUCAUUCUCCCUGUUUCAUCAAUUACUGAGUAUGAGAUUUGCACUUAAAUCGUUUUAUUUAUCUUUAUAUUUCUGAGAGUUUUGUUUUGUUUUCUUAACAGGCUAUGUUGUGAUAGUAUGAUAGUUAACUGUUGUGUCAACCUGAGUAAGAAACUCCUAAUUGACUUAGCACAGUUCUGGGUGUGACUGAAUGAAUUUAUUAAAGAUGGAAGACCCACUCUGGGUGUGAGUGUCACCAACCAAUAAGCUUGCACCCUGAAUGAGAUUAAAAAGCAAAGAAGGAAAGCUCCCUUCUGUUUGUUCAGAGGAGCUUUAGUCUUCACCUUUAUCUUGAAUGUUGGCUCUCGGCUUCCAGUCCAGUCUUAAAUCUUGUGGCACAGAGUUUUCAGACUUCCAUCUCAGAACCUUCAGCUUUCUGAUAUGGACUUGCAUAGGACUCUACAGGAAGCUCCAGACUUCCAACUUUUGAUUGGAUCUUUUGAAUCUCCAGUACCCAGACAGCCAUUUUGAACCCUUGCACACCUGACUCUGCAGGCAGCCAUUAUGAGCCUGCUUUGUAAAUCCAUGUAUGUGUAUAACAUAUAUGUGCUCUAGUGAGCACUCACUGACCGAUACAGAUUUGCAGAAAAAAAUGUGAAUGUUUGCCUUUUUACAGAAUUGAACAUUUCAUUACUGCAGCAUGCUCCUCUACCUUUAAUAUUUUUUAGCUUUUCAAUACUAAAUUUUCUUUAAAUUCUAUCUACAGAUUAACUCUAUGUAUGUUUUAAUUUUGUGUUUUUCUCAUAAUUUAAUGCUUAUAUUUUCGAUGCCUGUCUUUUUCUAGAACUCUUUUAAAUAGCAUAUAGUUGAUUUUCUAAUAGUGAGACAACCCUCAUAAUUGAUAACACCAUAGGCUAUUUAUAUAUAAUAUAAUGAAUGCUAUAUUUAGAUUUAAAGGUUUAAAUCUACCACUUUCUAUUUAUAACAACCCUUCAGGGAUUUAUUUUAUUUUGCAUUUUUGAGCUUUCAUUGAAUUAGCAUAAAUAAUUUUUAUUUAUAUCAUUUUCUUUUAGUUGUUCAACUACACAUAUAGCAAAUAUUCUGUAAAGAUAAAAUAUUAUAAAAAGUGGUUAAGUAGAUGAAUAAAGCAGUUGAAAAGUAAAGAGAGGCUUAAAAUUUUAUUAUAAAUAUUUCUGAUUGUUUUUUACUGUAGUAAUUUUAUAGCAGUUUUUGAAGUUAGAGCUGCACUGAUUCUACUGAAAGAUAAUUCCAAAAAUGCACACAGUAACAAAUAAAAAUUAUUUCCCCUUAAUGCAUUAGAUUAUCUGUUCAGCUUUCUUCCUUGUCCAUUUACUUGUGGUCUUAACAGCAUGAAUAUAAUUUAUAGAGCAGAGUCACUCUAAAAAAUGAUUUAAUUUUUACAAUAUGCUUCUCAACACAUUAUUGUAUGUUUUCAAAGCAUGGUUUUUCAAAGCAUGGUGACAUUCUAGGAUACAAAGUGUCCAGAAGUGCUCUGGCCUUUAUGUGAUUUCUUGUUUUCAUUACAUGAAUGAAUACCUCACAGUAAAUCUGGUACAGGAAGAAAGAUGAAGUAGUGACAAGAUCUGAAGAGGGAAGUUUCUUUUUAAACUUUGUCAAGAAAUAUUACACCCGUGGACCUCAUUAUUUUUCUGAUCUGCAAAUAAAAGCAUAGCCUAGAUGAUGUUUAGGCCCUUUACCAGCCAUAGAAGUUCCUAACAGUGGAAAUAUGCAGAAACCAGGCAGUUCCAUCUUUUUCUCAAAUUCUGCACCUUCUAAUGAUGCUACUUGUCACAAUUAACACAUCUCUCUGGAAUAUGUUUCUCUUUUUCAUAACCUAGGUUAACCUGAGAUAUAAAUAAUAUUUAGGAAGAAGUUUAAAAAAGACCUAUUCUAUAGCAGAUUCUAUUAUUAAUUUUCAUCAUCCCGAUGGAUGGUAUGCACGUGGUAAUUAUUAGCAUUAUGGAACAUUAAUAUUUCACUGUUUAUCUGGGACUUUACUAGUGUUCCUUUUCUCCCAUAUUAAUAAAGUGUAGAAUAUUAAUGUAUUAUAUAGAUCCUUUUUCCAUAAAAAUUAUGAAUCCUUAGACGUCCAUAACUUUAUAUUAAGGUCUUUAAAAUGCCCACACAUUUAAAGACUGAUAUAGUCUUACAGUGUUUAAGCAGCAUCUUGGAAAGUGUGUGGUAGAUUAACUAAUGGUCAAUUUAGAACGCCCAGCUGAACUGAGUCAGUGUGGUUCUGGGCCUGGAAGACCCACCUGAGAAUUGUUGCCAAUGAGAACUGGAAGGGAAGAUUGUAUGCUGUUGAUUUUCCUGGAGAAGCUUGUAGUGGCUGGUUUUCCUAAUACAAACUCAGCUGUUUUCCUCAUCAGAGGAGCUCAGGUCCUUGUUAUCACCAAGGUGGGUUAUUUUUCUCUUCCAGGGAGCUCUGGUCUUUACCUUUAGUGUCACUUCCUGGCUCCAGUGCAGAUCCCUUGGAUCCUUCACACACACACAUGCACACACACGCACACACACACAUACCCCCCACACACCCAGUGCAGACUUUCUUGUUUCCACCACUGGACUUCGGGCCUUCCUGGUGCAGUUCCUUGAUAUGGACCUGCAUGAGACAUUGCCCUAGACUCUAGGCCUCUGGCUGGACUCAUGGAGGAGAUUACCAUGGAAUCCAGGGCCUUGGCUGAAUUAUUUGGAUUUCUGGCAUGCAGACAGAUCUCUUGCACUCUUCUGCAUUUGAGUUUUUGGGUGAAUGUUAUAAAAAUCUAUAAAUUAUGUGUCCUAUAUUAAAUCUAUGCCUUUGCAAACCCUGACUACAACAAAAGGUAUUGUGAAGGAUUGGGAAAAAGUGAACUAAGAAGAAAAUUGAAUGUAAGAUUAUUAUUGAGGCUGAAAAAUAAAUCUUAUUACUGUCUUCUGGUAUUUUACCCAUGUCAUUUCUUCUUCUGCAUUUUGGUGUGACAACUGUAAUAAAUUUUACUGUAAAGUGGUCAACUGAGAUUGGAAGGUCACUGUGGAAAUUGGAGGUGAGAGUCCCCUAAAGUGAUGCCAACUGGAAAGCACAACAUUUUACUUUCAUGAUGCGAAGAUUUAGUUCCUUGACCUCUGGGUGGUUAAGCAUGAUAUAUAGAACACUUCAUUUCUGAUAUAUGCAUGUGAAACCCUAUCAGACUGAAGAUUUAAACUACUGCUUGAAUAAUAGCUAAAGUUAUCCUGAAGUACUUUAGAAAGAAAAAGGACAAUAAGAACAAAGAGAAAGAAGAAGGAAAAUAGGAAAAACUUUUUAAAAGGAGAAGAGGAUGAAGAGAGAAAGGGAAGAAAGGGGAAAAAAAUCAGUCAAGUUGCUUACUUUCCUUUCUGCACAAAUGCCAUCCUGUAAAGAAAAAAAAAUGUUUUGAAAGGCCUUUAACAUAAACAUGGACAGCUGUUUUAGACAUUGUAAUGUGUAAAUUUUAAAGAUACACCAUGAAAAAAAAAGUAUUCAUUCUGAAAUGUCAAUUUUAUAGCUCUAAGGGCGAGGUCCUAAGGUUUAGAAGUUAAAAGUAAGUUAACUCCUUGCUUAUGUGAACAUUAAACUGUCAGCAUGGAAGUAAGUUUAAAACUUACAAUGGCCUGAAAAUGCGCUGCUGAAUGAAGUCUGAAGACCCAUUAACCUUCCUGAGAUGUAAACUGGGAACCACUACACCUACUACACUCUGCCAUGCAGCAUGAGCUUGACAACUCUGGUGUCCAAGCCAGUUAAGAGAUGGGUAAUUAAGCUGACAAUUGUUGCUUUCUUCCUAAACAUAAUGAUCAUGGUUGCUGUUUUCAGUAUUCAUUUAGCAAUUGCAUGCUUAAAGGAAAUGAAAUAUUGGCUUGCAAAAGAGCAACUAUUCCUUCAAAGUUCUAUUCCUUCAAUUUUUGUUGAAUAAUAGUAAUAUAGUACUCAAUACACAGAUUGAUCAAUAACCCAUCUUUCCUUGGUUUUACAGGUUAAUGAGGACUUAGAAGGAAAACAUAUUUGUGAACAUACCAACAUUUAGAUGUACCAGGGAUCAAACUCAGGACCUUGCACUUGAGAGGCAGAUGAGGAAACUGGUGUACACAUGGAAGAAAGAAAUGAUGGCUUAAGGAAGUUGAUGCUAUGUGAUCAUGUAUUUAAAUUUUACAUUGUCAAGACUAUUUUUAUUACAAUAAAAAUUUCUUUUACUUUGGGUCAUGAAUGUCUCUCUCUCUGAUACUGUAUGUACUUGCUACUGAUAUUUGAACAGUAUUUAAAUAUCUUUUUACACAACCAAACUAAGACCAGGAAACCAAAACGAAAUUAACUUGAGAGCAUAAGUUAAUUUCUUGAUAUAAAAUUUAAAUGCCCACGUAUUGGUUAUCACUUUUAAUAAGACUUUUGUGAAGUUAAUCAUGAGAAAUCAGGCUUUGGUCUACCAUAAUUAUAGGGUAAGGAUAUCAUUUAAUUUACUGAGCAAUUUAAAGAAUAGUAAAAGUUAAUACUUCCAUAGGCUUUCUUUAUGCCAGGCACUACUAUAAAAGCUUUACAUAUGUUAUUUCAUUUAACAUUGACAAUAGCACUUUGUGCUGCAUCAUUACUAUCAUUCCCAUUUUAUCGACUACUGGAAAUGUAAGAAUGUUUUUAUGCUGCAAAAUCAAUCUUAGAAGCUAUUUGAGUAUUUAGUCUCCCAAAGCCCUCACAACUGUAUUUUCUUUGCAGACACUUGCAUUUUCUGACAAUAAAAGGAAAAGAGGCACUCAAAAUUUUAUUAUAAAAGCCUAGAAUUUUAAGAAAUUUGUCAUAACACAUCCAAUGCAUGUAAUUUCCAAUGUUACGUCGUCUUUCUUUUCAUCUGCCAGAGUACAGAUUUUUGGCUAUUUUGAGUAUUAUUAGAUUAGUAUAAAUAUUUACUUGAUGAAUUAUUCCAAAUAAAUUGCUGUUCUCUAAUGUGACAAAAAUAAAAUUAGUCACAUACCGUAUGAGAAAAAAGUCUCCCUACAUAAAUGUUAAUGCUUUGUAAAUUCCUAUUUAUAAUGGAUUCAAAAUGCUUUCUGUGGGAUCUGGUUAUGUAUAUUGUUUAAGUGAUCCUUAAACUGUUAGCUCUUGCAAAAGGAUGCAUCUGCAUAGUUGUAUUAGUUUGCCAUUGACCCAUCAGCAGGCACAGGCAGAUCAUCUGUACCAUGUUUGGUUUUCAGCUACUGAAGCAACUUGUGAUUUUUCUGACAGAAAAAAUUUAAAUGCUCUUUGGGGGAAAACUAAAUGAAAUCUCCACUUUUAGCCACUAUUUCCCAAGUCUCCUGAAAUUCUUUGCUCAUUCCUGGUCUUACCUUUUUAGCUGCUCAUAUUUCUCUCCUAUCUCAUGGACAGGAGCUUGAUUUUAUUCAUCUUUGUAGUUCCUUUCUUAUUAUAAUUACUGGCAUAAUACAGUGUUGAAAAUCUAUACUAAUGAGUGCAAAUGUAAGUUACAUAAGUAUAACCAAUUAAUGUGAACUAAAAUUCAUAAAUUCAAUUCGUAAAUGGAUCUCAUCGUGAACUCAACGUGAAUACAUAUUGAGUUCAUGAUUGUUUUCUAGAUGUGAAGUCUCAGUUCUGUCUAUGGACUACUUUUCUGCACUUCUGCUUUCUCAGGUUUUGAUAGUGCACUUACAUUUUAUUUAUUUUUUUCUCAAAGUCCAGAUAGUAAACUACAAUAAUUUCUACCCCUGCCGUAAAAGAUAGCCUGUUACACUUGAAUCUCCUCUCUUAGUCACUGCAAAUCCUUGUUCAAUGAAUAUUUUAUAAUGAUCUAAGUUCCCCCAAUUUUAUUUUUUAGCCUGGCUGAAAAUCUGCUCAAGAUUUUCAAGUGUACUGUGAUUUCCAAUUGUAAGCAGUAGAACUACCACCAGGAUGAUAAAUGCCUUUGGUAGAUUAUUUUGUUUUCUUCUAUAUUAAUUAGUUUCUUCUGCUUUCUUCUCUCAUGGUCAUUGCUGUGUUUCACUGAAACUCAACCUAUGUGAUGAGUUCCUUCAAAAUUUAUGUUAAAGUCCUAGUCCUCAGAAGGAGAUGUUAUUUAAAAACAGGGUUGUUGCAGACAUAUACAGUUGAGAAGCAGCUGUGGUGAAUCUAUGGCAAGCAUGCUGCAGUGGGCUGUUUGCAUCACUCAAAAAAGUUUCACCUCUAAAAGUUUCACCAUGACUGAUUGAGAGAUUAUAAUGGAGUAGGGUGUGUCCUCAAUCCAAUGUGACAAGUGGUCUCAUAAGAAAGGAGAUUUGGAUACAGGCACACACAAAAAUACUACCUUAAUAAACAAUACCAGGCCCCAACUAUUUCCAAGACAGUGUGGCGUGGCACAGGUGCAUGGCAGAGGAGAAACAGCUGGUGGCAUGACAAUAGGAAGAAGAGAAAGCGUGAUGGGAAUCAUAAAUUCAUAAACAAUGAAUUGAUGCUUGGUCAAUACAAGUUUUGUUACUUUCCAUGUUGGCUUUUAUUAAAAACAUGCUGUCUUAGAAGCAAAAUUUUUGUGACUGGGCUGGGGAUUUAGCUCAGUGGUUCCACUGCCUGCCUUGCAAGCGCAAGGUCUUGAGUCUGAUCCCCGGUACCAAAACAAAACAGCAACAAAAAAUUUGUGACUGAGUUUUGUUUUUUACUUCAGAGGAAGUGUUAUUUGGAGUAUUUUUUUUUACAUACCUUCAAUAAAAAUAAGCGCCCCCCACGUAUAUGGAACAUAUUCCAUUUAGAAAUUGUUUCAGUUUUCAAAAGUCUUUGUAAAUGGUCAGUUCUUUCCUGCCAGUAAGUAGAAGGGAUUUGUUAUAUUAAACUGGAGACAUUUAAAUUAGUAAGUUAAUUCAUUGUUUUUAUUUGCCAGAGGUAAAAACUGGCUUUCUGUAUAGAUUCCAUUAAAAUUUUGAUAUUCUUCAGCUGCCAAAUUCCUAAACAAAAUAUAGUUAAAAGCAAAUACUGGCUAGAGCCAGUUAAAAUAAAAAAUGGAAUUAAACAGAUUAUCUCAGUGUAUAUUUAAGUAUUGUAGUCUGUAGAAAAAAAUGACUAUGUAGUAAUCACAACAAUUUAAAGGGAAAGUAUCCUGAGAAAUAAGAAAAAAUGAUCGCAUAUUUAGAAAUUAUAAGAUAUAAAGAAGUAAGACAUUUUAACAUAAUUCUUGUCUGGAAUUUUCAUUGUGCUAAACACUUUAGUAAUGUAGGCCAAAUAUAACAAUGGUCCACUGAACAAAACUCUCAGUUUUUGGAUUUGGUUUCCAGAGUGCAUGAUACAAACUUUGUUACCAUCUGGCAGUGCAUUUGGGAUCAUAGCCGUUGCCUGAAGAGGAGAAAUAUCAAAAGCUAAAAUUAUAGUUAAUGUAGGGUAAACUGCAGAAACAUCUGUGCCUAUGACAGCUUAUAUUUAGUUCCACUGAAACUUUUUUGGAAUUCUGAUGACCAUUUUGAAAUUUUGUGAAUGUGUGGG